Molecule: long non-coding RNA, 1099 nt
Filed under: Vigna radiata
Lineage: Eukaryota; Viridiplantae; Streptophyta; Magnoliopsida; Fabales; Fabaceae
Description: long non-coding RNA (VRAD_LNC014488)
Source: RNAcentral
AAUCGUGUACAAAGUGUGUAUAAAAUGAGUACAUAGGGUUUACAAAUGUUGUAUAAAAGGUGUAUAAAGAGUGUACAAACGGUGUAUAAAGGGUGUAUAAAGGGUUGCAGAAGGGUACACAAAUGGUAUUUAAAGGGGUUAGAAAGCAUGUAAAAAGGGUGUAGAAAGGGUGGAGAAAGACUCUUGAAAAGGUUUAGUAAAGGUGUACGAAGAAGACGAAAGAUGUAGAAAUCGUGUACAAUGUCUGUAUAAAGUGAGUACAAAGGGUUUACAAAUGUUGUAUAAAGGGUGUACAAAAUUUGUGUAACGGGUUUACAAAGGGUGUAGACCCAUUCUACCUCUUUUUAAAAAAUAUGUAGAAAGGUUGCAAAAGGGUGCACAAAUCGUAUAUAAAGGGGUUAUAAAGGAUGUCGAAAAGGUGUAGAAAGACUGUUGAAAGGGUUUAGUAAGGGUGUAAGAAGAUGAAGAAAGAUGUAGAAAUCAUGUACAAAGUCUAUAUAAGGUGAGUUCAAAGGGUUUACAAAUCUUGUAUACAGGGUGUAUAAAGGAUGAACCAAGGGUGUAUAAAGGGUGGACAAAGGGAGUAGACCCAUUCUACCUCUUUUUAAAAAUUAUACAGAAAAUCUGCAGAAGGGUUCACAAAUGGUAUAUAAAGAGGUUAGAACGGAUGUAGAAUGGGUGUAGAAAGACUCUUGAAAAGGUUUAGUAAGGGUGUAAGAAGAUGAAGAAAGAUGUAGAAAUCGUGUACAAAGUGUCUAUAAAGUGAGUACAAAGGGUUUACAAAUGUUGUAUAAAGUGUUUAUAAAGGGUGUAAAAAGGGUGUAUAAAGGGUGUACAAAGGGUGUAGACCCAUUCUACCUCUUUUUAAAAAAAUAUGUAGAAAGCCUGCAGAAGGGUUCAGAAAUGGUAUAUAAAGGGGUUAGAAAGGAUGUAAAAAGGGUGUUGAAAGACUCUUGAAAAGGUUUAGUAAGGGUGUAAGAAGAUGAAGAAAGAUAUAGAAAUCGUGUACAAAGUGUGUAUAAAGUGAGUACAAAGGGUUUACAAGUGUUUUAUAAAGGGUGUAUAAAGGGUGUACAAAAGGUGUAUAAAGGGUGCACAA